This 465-nucleotide ribosomal RNA is filed under the name uncultured bacterium. RNAcentral's name for it is "partial 16S ribosomal RNA". It matches the Rfam family "Bacterial small subunit ribosomal RNA", at positions 28 to 507 of the family's 1533-position model. The record is from RNAcentral.
GACGAACGCUGGCGGCGUGCUUAACACAUGCAAGUCGAACGGAAGGGCCCUGCUUGCAGGGUACUCGAGUGGCGAACGGGUGAGUAACACGUGGGUGAUCUGCCCUGCACUUCGGGAUAAGCCUGGGAAACUGGGUCUAAUACCGGAUAGGAGCCAUUUUUAGUGUGAUGGUUGGAAAGUUUUUUCGGUGUAGGAUGAGCUCGCGGCCUAUCAGCUUGUUGGUGGGGUAAUGGCCUACCAAGGCGGCGACGGGUAGCCGGCCUGAGAGGGUGGACGGCCACAUUGGGACUGAGAUACGGCCCAGACGCCUACGGGAGGCAGCAGUGGGGAAUAUUGCACAAUGGGCGCAAGCCUGAUGCAGCGACGCCGCGUGGGGGAUGACGGCCUUCGGGUUGUAAACUCCUUUCGCUAGGGACGAAGCUUUUUGUGACGGUACCUAGAGAAGAAGCACCGGCUAACUACGUG